Molecule: transfer RNA, 64 nt
Filed under: Aleurocanthus spiniferus (citrus spiny whitefly)
Lineage: Eukaryota; Metazoa; Arthropoda; Insecta; Hemiptera; Aleyrodidae
Description: tRNA-Leu
Source: RNAcentral
UCUAUUGUGGCAGAUCAAGUGCGGUAAAUUUAAGAUUUAUAGAUGAAUUAGUGUUCCUUUAGAA